Molecule: ribosomal RNA, 467 nt
Filed under: uncultured bacterium
Lineage: Bacteria
Description: bacterial SSU rRNA
Rfam family: Bacterial small subunit ribosomal RNA
Source: RNAcentral
UAACACAUGCAAGCGAGCGGAGUAUCAGUGGAAGCUCGGCCGGAAGGCAGAUAACUAGCGGCGGACGGGUGAGUAACGCGUGAGCAACCUGUCCUCUACAGGGGGAUAAGACAGCGAAAGUUGUUCUAAUACCGCAUAAGACCACGCAGUCGCAUGGCUGAGGGGUCAAAGGAGCAAUCCGGUAGAGGGUGGGCUCGCGUCCGAUUAGAUAGUUGGUGAGGUAACGGCCCACCAAGUCAACGAUCGGUAGCCGACCUAAGAGGGUGAUCGGCCACAUUGGGACUGAGACACGGCCCAGACUCCUACGGGAGGCAGCAGUGGGGAAUAUUGGGCAAUGGGGCGAAAGCCUGACCCAGCAACGCCGCGUGGAGGAAGAAGGUCUUCGGAUCGUAAACUCCUGUCCUAAAGGACGAGAGGAAGACGGUACUUUAGGAGGAAGCCCCGGCUAACUACGUGCCAGCAGCGGC